This 91-nucleotide transfer RNA is filed under the name Candidatus Omnitrophota bacterium. RNAcentral describes it as "Candidatus Omnitrophica bacterium tRNA-Ser". It matches the Rfam family "tRNA". Rfam says of the family: Transfer RNA (tRNA) molecules are approximately 80 nucleotides in length. Their secondary structure includes four short double-helical elements and three loops (D, anti-codon, and T loops). Lineage: Bacteria; Pseudomonadati; Candidatus Omnitrophota. The record is from RNAcentral.
GGAGAGGUGGCAGAGUCCGGUUGAUCGCGGCGGUCUCGAAAACCGUUGUGCCCUUUAGGGGGCACCGGGAGUUCGAAUCUCCCCCUCUCCG